UCACGCCCCACCGCGGGGGAAGCCGGGAAAGGAGCUCGGCUAAGUGGAAGGAGCUCCUAGACGGCACAAGUUGUGGCUGGUUUGGGCAGACUGUGUGGCGGGAUGGAGGAGCACAUGUCACAAUGAAUAUAUGGAAGUCAAAGGACAAGUUAGCCUACCGUAUGGAUCCCUGGAUUCAGACUCGAGUUUUCAGGCUUUGCCACAACCACAACCACCUUUACCAUCGGAUGAGUCUUCUCACUGGCCUAGUAAGGGCGACUCUUAAAAAACAGUUAUUCUGGCCAGCGGUGGAGGUGCACACAUUUAACUCAGCACUCAGGAUGCAGAGGCAGGUGGAUCUCUAAGUUAGAAGCCAGCUUGGUCCACAGGGGGCAAGCAUACAUCUUGACAUACUUCCUGCCUAUGUAUCACCCACCUACAUGUGAUCAAGCACAUCCUGUACAGUUGGUCCAACCAGGUUUGUUUACAAAAGCAAAAACAUAGCUCCCAAGGUCCAAAUGAGGAGCAGGAGGGAGAACAUGAGCAAGGAAGUCAGGACCACGGCGGGUGCGUCCACCCACUGAG
Myodes glareolus (Bank vole) is the source of this 564-nucleotide long non-coding RNA. RefSeq lists it as uncharacterized. NCBI's taxonomy places the organism in Eukaryota, Metazoa, Chordata, Mammalia, Rodentia, Cricetidae. The record is from RefSeq and is a predicted model, not a curated record.